UACGGAGGGGGUUAGCGUUGUUCGGAAUGACUGGGCGUAAAGCGCGCGUAGGCGGACCUGCAAGUCGGGGGUGAAAUCCCGGGGCUCAACCCUGGAAUGGCCUUCGAGACUGCCGGUCUUGAGUUCGAGAGAGGUGGGUGGAAUUCCGAGUGUAGAGGUGAAAUUCGUAGAUAUUCGGAGGAACACCAGUGGCGAAGGCGGCCCUCUGGCUCGACACUGACGCUGAGGUGCGAAAGCGUGGGGAGCAAACAGG
RNAcentral lists this ribosomal RNA (253 nucleotides) under uncultured bacterium. RNAcentral's name for it is "partial 16S ribosomal RNA". It matches the Rfam family "Bacterial small subunit ribosomal RNA", at positions 524 to 776 of the family's 1533-position model. The record is from RNAcentral.